CUCGCCGCCGUUAUGUAGGUAUAAUUUUUCAAGCGUCUGUCUCUCUCUGUCUAUCUCUCUCUUUCUCGCUUUUUCUCUUUGAUUUCCCUUACUCCUUUUUCCCAUACUCUUCUUGUUCUAAAGAGAGCAUUUCAGUGGAAGAAGGAGCUCUGUAACUCUGUACAGCUCAUCGGCAUCGUCGUUACACCUGUCCAAAUCAAGCCCCUCAGCUCCAGCAAGGUUGUCACUUGGUCUCGCCUCGCCGUCAAGAAAUCCUCUACCGACACUGCCUGCAAGGUGGAGGAUGGCUUAACAAGUGCAAGUUCAACAAACUUGAACAAACAAGGCCCUUUGCCCUCUAUAAAAUUGGUCAGAAAGCAGUUUGGUGGCAGAUAUGCCAUAUCAUCUGAGGAGUUCACUAGUGAAGUGGUUGGAGCUAAAUCACGUAAUAUUGGAUAUCUAAAAGGAAAAGUGCUUUCAUGGGUUGGGAUUCCUACCUCGGUUGACCUACCAUUUGGAGUUUUCGAGAAAGUUCUUUCAGACGGUUUAAAUUAGGUUUUCCUCAUCUCAAAAUCUUUCACAUAUCUCUAUUGUAGUUUGUUAUUGCACUCUUCAUUCAGUAACUUCUAAUGUUUCCAUUUGGCAUAGGAUUUUUUUUUCCUUCCAUUUAUUUCUUAAUAGUAGACACACCAACUAGGUGAAUUUGCAUUUGUUUUUAUCCUAGAUUGGCGGCCUUGUUUUA
Camellia sinensis is the source of this 721-nucleotide non-coding RNA. The record is from RefSeq and is a predicted model, not a curated record. Lineage: Eukaryota; Viridiplantae; Streptophyta; Magnoliopsida; Ericales; Theaceae.